This 253-nucleotide unclassified non-coding RNA is filed under the name uncultured Actinomycetes bacterium. RNAcentral describes it as "uncultured actinobacterium contains 16S-23S intergenic spacer region". It matches the Rfam family "Bacterial small subunit ribosomal RNA", at positions 524 to 776 of the family's 1533-position model. The record is from RNAcentral. Lineage: Bacteria; Bacillati; Actinomycetota; Actinomycetes.
AACGUAGGGGGCAAGCGUUGCCCGGAUUCACUGGGCGUAAAGCGGGUGUAGGCGGUCCGUUAAGUCGGAUGUGAAAUCUCCGAGCUCAACUCGGAAACUGCAUCCGAUACUGGCGGACUUGAGGACGGUAGAGGUCGGUGGAAUGACCUGUGUACCGGUGAAAUGGACAGAUAUUGGUCGGAACACCAGUGGCGAAGGCGGCCGACUGGGCCGUUCCUGACGCUGAGACCCGAAAGCCAGGGUAGCGAACCGG